This 256-nucleotide unclassified non-coding RNA is filed under the name uncultured fungus. RNAcentral describes it as "sequence contains ITS1". Lineage: Eukaryota; Fungi. The record is from RNAcentral.
GUUUCUCAUUGUUUCUCAUUUGGUUUCAGUGAAAAUAAAGAUUUGGGGUGUGUUUUCAAUGCUGGUGACCCUAAUCAAGCCCCAGACUCGCACAAUGUCGAAUCCAGAACAUGAAACGGACCUAAGCAAAUGCUCAGACCGGGGUCACCAAAAUACGUCAAACGUUCACAAGGGUGUUAAUCUGAGCGGCAUCUCCGAAGAGAUGCCACAGAUUUUUGAAUUCGUAAUGAUCCAACCGCAGGUUCACCUACGGUUA